This 607-nucleotide long non-coding RNA is filed under the name Acromyrmex echinatior (Panamanian leafcutter ant). RNAcentral's name for it is "uncharacterized LOC105154760, transcript variant X1". Lineage: Eukaryota; Metazoa; Arthropoda; Insecta; Hymenoptera; Formicidae. The record is from RNAcentral.
UAUUUGAAGUUAUUAUCCUAUAUACCAUCCUUAUUAUUUACUCUAUCAUUCUAAACCAUUUUUUAUUUCUGUAAUUUUCUUAGAUCAUUUUCCAAAUGAUCGUUUUCAUUGAAAAACAUACAAUAAAUUCUGUUCUAAUCUAUUUUUAGCAAUCAUUGUCUCCCCUGUUCGAUAACAUCGAUGAUGUUAUCUCAGAGGAGCCUAAGCGGAGUAAUUGAUGGCCGUCGAGCCGCCCGUCAACGCGUGUAACCGAUUUCUUGCAGGGAUUAGAGAGAUGCCCGACAAGACGUUUAGAUGAGCGACGAUUACGCAAUGAUUCGUGACCGAUCUGCACACGCGUUGGAUCGCAGUGAUCGUCCGUAAUGCGAUUAUACGCCUGAUUAUAGGUUCCUCGUAAUUGGAUCGUUUCUAAACUAGAGUUUAACUGGGUUAACCUUUACCAUGAAAUACCUCGUCACGGAGAAAUUCGUCGCAACGACUUUCAAAGAAAGUGCUGUAACAAAUUCAGGAUUUUUUUCAACAUUUCUAUUACAUUAAUACACGGAAUGCAAGAAAAUUCGACUUCCAGCCGAGAUUGAUUGCGUUGAAAGUCUGACAAUCAUAUCGG